AAAAACAUAACCGUAUGGGAUUAAUAUUCGGCUAUUUCUGCUCAAUGAUAUUAAAUAGCCGCAGUACCCUGACUGUGCAAAGGUAGCAUAAUCAUUUGGCUUUUAAUUGAAGUCUGGCAUGAAUGAAUUUAUGGCUGGCAGCUGUCUUUUACAAGCGUUGUGAAUUUUCUUAAUAAGUGUAAAUACUUAUAUAAGGAUAAUAGACGAGAAGACCCUUGAAAUUUUUACAAAAUGUGUGAUACACUGCACGUUUUUGUUGGGGCGACAAAAUAACACAAAACUUAUUGUUGUAGAUUUGAACUAAAUGUUGUGAGAAAAUAAAUUACUCUAGGGAUAACAGCAUAAUUUUAAUUAGUUUGUGACCUCGAUGUUGGAUUAGGGACAAAGCUAU
RNAcentral lists this ribosomal RNA (391 nucleotides) under Helminthoglypta sp. Caliente. RNAcentral's name for it is "partial 16S ribosomal RNA". It matches the Rfam family "Bacterial large subunit ribosomal RNA", at positions 1809 to 2599 of the family's 2925-position model. Lineage: Eukaryota; Metazoa; Mollusca; Gastropoda; Stylommatophora; Helminthoglyptidae. The record is from RNAcentral.